Molecule: non-coding RNA, 325 nt
Organism: Pelobates cultripes (western spadefoot toad)
Lineage: Eukaryota; Metazoa; Chordata; Amphibia; Anura; Pelobatidae
Source: the annotation of a GenBank genome assembly
AUUCAUCUUGCUGAGGUACCAGCCACCAGCAACAGCACUUUCUGUGCUGACACCAUGGAAGCUCCUGCUAGAGGUUCGAAUAGUGGUUUAGUCAGAGCCUGUAAGACCAGAGGUAGGUCACAUAUGGACUUCAACACCCUCAGUGCAGGCUUGAAUUUAAUUGCUUCUUACAUGAAGCAAAGCACCAGGGGUUCCAAUGCUCAAUGGGUACCCAUCCAUGUGUAAAGUGCCAAUCUGUGCUCCUCUAGAGUGUUAUAAUUCAGACCAUAUCAAGGCCUGAUUGAGAAGUAAUUCCAACCUCUAUUCUUGAGACCAACAGACAAAU